ACUCCUACGGGAGGCAGCAGUGGGGAAUAUUGGACAAUGGGCGCAAGCCUGAUCCAGCCAUGCCGCGUGAGUGAUGAAGGCCUUAGGGUUGUAAAGCUCUUUCGUCCGGGACGAUAAUGACGGUACCGGAAGAAGAAGCCCCGGCUAACUUCGUGCCAGCAGCCGCGGUAAU
RNAcentral lists this ribosomal RNA (172 nucleotides) under uncultured soil bacterium. RNAcentral describes it as "partial 16S ribosomal RNA". It matches the Rfam family "Bacterial small subunit ribosomal RNA", at positions 335 to 524 of the family's 1533-position model. The record is from RNAcentral.